This 495-nucleotide ribosomal RNA is filed under the name uncultured bacterium. Its description in RNAcentral is "partial 16S ribosomal RNA". It matches the Rfam family "Bacterial small subunit ribosomal RNA", at positions 28 to 507 of the family's 1533-position model. The record is from RNAcentral.
GACGAACGCUGGCGGCGUGCCUAAUACAUGCAAGUAGAACGCUGAAGGAGGAGCUUGCUUCUCUGGAUGAGUUGCGAACGGGUGAGUAACGCGUAGGUAACCUGCCUGGUAGCGGGGGAUAACUAUUGGAAACGAUAGCUAAUACCGCAUAAGAGUAGAUGUUGCAUGACAUUUGCUUAAAAGGUGCAAUUGCCUCACUACCAGAUGGACCUGCGUUGUAUUAGCUAGUUGGUGGGGUAACGGCUCACCAAGGCGACGAUACGUAGCCGACCUGAGAGGGUGAUCGGCCACACUGGGACUGAGACACGGCCCAGACUCCUACGGGAGGCAGCAGUAGGGAAUCUUCGGCAAUGGACGGAAGUCUGACCGAGCAACGCCGCGUGAGUGAAGAAGGUUUUCGGAUCGUAAAGCUCUGUUGUAAGAGAAGAACGAGUGUGAGAGUGGAAAGUUCACACUGUGACGGUAUCUUACCAGAAAGGGACGGCUAACUACGUG